CCGUGCCGAUUUCGUAUUCUUUUUACUAUUAUUCCCGUAUCAGUAUAUCGAACAAAAGAAAAUAGGUUGGAUAUUUUAAUUUCGUCCGUGUUACUAUGAUUAUCCAUAGUUCAAUGCUGAAUGCCGAUUUAUCACUAUGAGCUAAAAUUUUAUUGCACUUCCUAGUUGUUAACGACUGUUGUCUUUCUCUCUGUGCCAUAAGCCACUGCGAGGGUUCGGCGCUAGAUUCUCUGGCCUGCGAUUGCGACGCGAAUUCUCUCU
Non-coding RNA from Cinara cedri, 261 nucleotides. Lineage: Eukaryota; Metazoa; Arthropoda; Insecta; Hemiptera; Aphididae. The record is from the annotation of a GenBank genome assembly.